AGCGUUGUCCGGAAUUCUUGGGCGUAAAGAGCUCGUAGGCGGUGUGUCGCGUCGGCCGUGAAAACCUGCAGCUUAACUGUGGGCGUGCGGUCGAUACGGGCAUCACUGGAGUUCGGCAGGGGAGACUGGAAUUCCUGGUGUAGCGGUGAAAGGCGCAGAUAUCAGGAGGAACAUCCGUGGCGAAGGCGGCUCUCUGGGACGGUACUGACGCUGAGACGCGAAAGCGUGGGGAGCGAACAGG
This 241-nucleotide ribosomal RNA is filed under the name uncultured bacterium. Its description in RNAcentral is "partial 16S ribosomal RNA". It matches the Rfam family "Bacterial small subunit ribosomal RNA", at positions 537 to 776 of the family's 1533-position model. The record is from RNAcentral.